UUCCUUUUAGAUUUAUGCAAUUCUCCCAGAUUCACAUAUCCAAUAAUUCGAUAAUUAUAUUGGAUUCACAAAUAAUCAUAUUUAGCUUAAAAAUCCAAUCAAUUUUUUAGCCAUCCAAUUGUCAAACUUCAUGUAACACAAAGCUCUUCCGGAUAAAGGGGAAAAAACUUUAGAAUUUCUCUAGCCUUUACUUGGUAGAAACAAAGAAGAAGAAAAAGUCGAACAGAAAGAAAGAAAGAAAGUAAGAAAGAAGGGAAAAAAUCGAACAGAAGCAAAAAAGAAAUGAAAAAAGUUGAACAGAAAGAAAAAAAAAAAGAAAAAAAA
This 324-nucleotide long non-coding RNA is filed under the name Salvia miltiorrhiza (redroot sage). RNAcentral's name for it is "long non-coding RNA (SMIL_LNC014145)". Lineage: Eukaryota; Viridiplantae; Streptophyta; Magnoliopsida; Lamiales; Lamiaceae. The record is from RNAcentral.